AAAACCUCAUUCAUGAAUGCUUGAAACACUGAGGGUGAGUUGGAAAGGCCAUACAGCAUGACGUGAUAUUCGUAGUGGCCUGAUGGUUUUAUAAAGACGGUCUUCCAUCCAUGACCCUCGCAGAUCCAAAUGAGGAUAUACGUGCUACGCAGGUCCAAUUUGGAGAAGACGCAGGCUCCAGGCAGUUGCUCAAGGGUGCCAACAGAAACCAGAUCUAAGCCAGCAAUAACUGGCUGAUCCAUGCCAGGACGUGCCACCCUGUCCUGCCACUGCCACUGACUAAAGUCAUCAGCUCCACCAACUACAAAAGAGGAGGAAUGGGGCAAGGACAAAUCAUGAGUGGAAUAUGAAAAUAAAUUAACUGAGGUCAGUAGUUUGGGUAAUUUCUCAAAUAAUUUCACUUUUAACUACUUUACUACUACACUUUACUACUACAGUUUUACAGCCUUAAGGUCACAUUAGCAAACUGUCCACCUUCAGGUCGUUGUACACAUCUGAUUUACUGAUUUCCUAAAGUAAACAUAAAAAUAACAUUAAUAUUGUUAAAAAUGUUUUAAGAUGAUUUUUAAGAGACAUCUAUUUUUAUCUCCCAUUCAGCAUUCCAGUGCAUUAUGUAUUUUUUGUUUUGUAUACAAAUUAAGCAUUUAAAAACAUACCAUCUUACUAAGACAUAUUAUUUAUUAUAGUAGCCUGUUAUACUGUUACAAAGAUCUGGUUGAUUUACAUUCCAAGUUAUCAGAAUUUUAUUGUGGCCAUAUAAAUAUCAGCAACUGUACCAAAUUUAUUAUUUUGCUAAGUUUGGGAACUGAAUAAAACUGAAGUGUAUGAGUAUGAUCUCCAUAUUAUCAUACAUCAUACUAUAUGAGCCAUAAAAGCCUGAUGCAUCAAAUAUGAUACUCAACAAAAAAUACAUAUGCAGACUUUUUUUAUUAUUAUUAUUUUUUAAUUAUUAUUAUUUAUGCAGAUUGGAUAAAAAUUAAAAAAAUAGAUUGUUCUAUUAUUUCAAAAAUCAGGCUUUAUAUAGUUAAUGUUAUUACUUGCUAUUUUUUGUUAACAUGCACUUUUCUAGUAUUUCAUGUUUCAGGCUAAUAUUAUUACUAUUGCUAUUCUUUGUGACCAAGCAGGGUUUUCUCAUACUAUAAGUGUUGCUUUAAGAUGUUGACAGCAGGAAUACAUAUUUGUUUGUUUGUUUAGAGAAAUAGCCUUUGACAUACAGUACUAACAAAUUCUGAAUCAAAAUUUAAAUAGUUAACCCCUGACUGGUGUGGUAAUGACCAUUACUUCGAAAUCCUACAGCUAACAUGAUUCUUACAUUCAUGAGAAUUUUCCCCUGAAGUUUAUUUGAGAGA
Long non-coding RNA from Cyprinus carpio carpio, 1349 nucleotides. The record is from Ensembl. Lineage: Eukaryota; Metazoa; Chordata; Actinopteri; Cypriniformes; Cyprinidae.